Molecule: ribosomal RNA, 1554 nt
Filed under: Algoriphagus oliviformis
Lineage: Bacteria; Pseudomonadati; Bacteroidota; Cytophagia; Cytophagales; Cyclobacteriaceae
Description: Algoriphagus sp. H41 partial 23S ribosomal RNA
Rfam family: Bacterial large subunit ribosomal RNA
Source: RNAcentral
GAGUAAGUGACUAAGGGCGCACGGGGGAUGCCUAGGCUCUCAGAGGCGAGGAAGGACGUGAUAAGCUGCGAAAAGCCACGGGGAUCGGCCAAUGCGAAACGAUCCGUGGAUAUCCGAAUGGGGCAACCCAGUCCGCCAUCGGCGGACUAUUCCGUAAGGAAAGCGAACGUGGGGAACUGAAACAUCUAAGUACCCAUAGGAGGAGAAAAUAACAAUGAUUCCGUGAGUAGUGGCGAGCGAAAGCGGAGGAGCCCAAACCGUGCCUGUUACGGCAUGCACGGGGUUGUAGGACCUGUAUGAUCAAUGACGACGCGACGGGAACGGCAUGGGAAGGCCGACCACAGGGGGUGAGAGUCCCGUACUGGAAGCGUGGUUUGCGAGACGGGUAUCCUGAGUAGGUCGGGACCGGAGAAAUCCCGAUUGAAACUGCCGGCACCAUCCGGUAAGGCUAAAUACUCCUGAGAGACCGAUAGUGGACGAGUACCGUGAGGGAAAGGUGAAAAGUACUCCGAAUAGGAGGGUGAAAUAGAACCUGAAACCGUGCGCUUACAAGCGGUCGGAGCCACGCGAUGUGGUGACGGCGUGCCUUUUGCAUAAUGAGCCUACGAGUUACUCCUCUCCGGCAAGGGUAAGGCAUUCAGUGCCGCACCCGGAGCGAAAGCGAGUCUGAAAGGGCGCUUGAGUCGGAGGGGGUAGACGCGAAACUUAGUGAUCUACCCAUGGCCAGGUUGAAGGUUGGGUAAAACCAACUGGAGGACCGAACCGAUAAGCGUUGAAAAGCUUCCGGAUGAGCUGUGGGUAGGGGUGAAAGGCUAAUCAAACUGAGAAAUAGCUCGUACUCCCCGAAAUGUUUUUAGGAACAGCGUCGGGAAUUGUAUGGCGGAGGUAGAGCUACCGAUAGGACUAGGGGGAGUCACAUCCUACCAAAUCCUGACGAACUCCGAAUGCCGCCAUACAGAACCGGCAGUGAGGGCUGGGGUGCUAAGGUCCCAGUCCGAGAGGGAAAGAACCCAGACCUUCCGCUAAGGUCCCCAAAUCCAGAUUAAGUUGAACAAAGGUGGUCCAGUUGCAGAGACAGCCAGGAGGUUAGCUUGGAAGCAGCUAUUCCUUUAAAGAGUGCGUAACAGCUCACUGGUCGAGCGACAGGGCGUCGAUAAUAAUCGGGCAUCAAAUCUGGUACCGAAGCGAAGGAUUCCGCCCCAGGCGGAGUGGUAGGGGAGCAUUCCAACGGCGGCGAAGGUAUACCGUAAGGUGUGCUGGAGCUUUUGGAAAAGCAAAUGUAGGCAUAAGUAACGAUAAGGCGGGCGAGAAACCCGCCCACCGUAAGACCCAGGUUUCCUGAUCAACGUUAAUCGGAUCAGGGUUAGUCGGGACCUAAGGCGAACCCGAGAGGGGUAGUCGAUGGACAACGGGUUAAUAUUCCCGUACUGGUUAUACAGGCAAUGGAGUGACGGAGUGAUGAAAGAUCCGCGCGGUGACGGAAUACCGCGUUGAAGCCGGUAGGUAUUGGUUUGAUAGUUAAAUGCGUCAGACUAGCCGAAGGUGAUAGUACCG